AUGGUGGAGGAGCCCGCGGAAGAAGCGGCUCGGGGGGGAAGCGAACCCCCGCUCAUGGAAGUGAGCGAAGGAGACGACGUAGCCGGGGGGAGGCGACGGAACUUGCUCCGUCCCCGGCAGCUCCCACUCGCCCGCCGCCAUCCUCUCGCAGAGGAGAACCUUCCGCACCAGGCCCUCGGCGCGCGAGGAGGUGAAAUGAGAAACCCCCCAGGAACCCAUCGCCGGAGGAGGGAGGAGAUCGACGGUGACAGGAAGAAGAGCGCGCGGCUUGGAGCGAAGGAAACGAGGCGAGCGCGGAUGAACUGAGCGUGAGGCUGGAA
RNAcentral lists this long non-coding RNA (320 nucleotides) under Setaria viridis. Its description in RNAcentral is "long non-coding RNA (SVIR_LNC004534)". The record is from RNAcentral. Lineage: Eukaryota; Viridiplantae; Streptophyta; Magnoliopsida; Poales; Poaceae.